RNAcentral lists this ribosomal RNA (120 nucleotides) under Candidatus Bathyarchaeota archaeon. The record is from RNAcentral. Lineage: Archaea; Thermoproteati; Candidatus Bathyarchaeota.
UUUGCCGGCCAUAGGGCGCGGGUCCCACCCGAUCCCAUUCCGAACUCGGAAGUUAAACCGCGCUCCGUUCCCGGCGGUAGUGUGGUCUUCGGCCACGCGAAACCGGGAAAGCUGGCAGCC